Molecule: RNA transcript, 1952 nt
Organism: Nematostella vectensis (starlet sea anemone)
Lineage: Eukaryota; Metazoa; Cnidaria; Anthozoa; Actiniaria; Edwardsiidae
Gene name: lactadherin
Exons: 4
Source: RefSeq, a predicted model, not a curated record
GCCGAUGAUGUACACACAUUCAGCUGAAGCAAUAGUCAAAACUUUUUGUUGAUCAGAACAAAAAUCACGGGAAGCCGAAACGAAAACAACGAUAAACAUAAGCGAGAACGAACUUUGCAAGGCAUGAGCGAGAGAGGGACAUUGUGAGCACUUUUCAAGAAGUACAAAGUUAUGCGACUUGUUUCCUGAUCCAGCUAUUGUCAUGGUGACUUCUAAAGCGCUCUGCAUUUGCGCGUUCUUCACAUUUUUAGACCAACUAUGUAUUACUGCUGACCAACAUGACUGUCGGCCCGUCUCAUCCAUCAACGAAUACACGCUUCGAGGGCACGCCUACAAGUCAAUCACUGGCAAACAAUUAACCACUUGUGUAAUCACGUGUGAUGGCGAUCCAAACUGCUACAGCCUGAACUAUAGAUUUCCCACAAGUAUUUGCGAGCUGAAUGGAGGCACGCGAGUCUCGCAUCCUGAGCACUUUGUCUAUACCGCUGACUCGGUAUAUCUCGAGCAUUUGUCAAGGCCCGCGGGCUCGUGUUCUGGUGGAUGGCCUUGCAGCAAUAAGGCGACAUGCGUGAACGUUCCCAUGAUGCCUGGGUACAAGUGUUACUGUCAGGAGGGGUACACGGGCGAGUUAUGUCAAGAUUGCAAAUCUCCGCCAAUCGGUAUUUCUGACGAAAAAUACAUCGGAAACUCUCGAAUAGCAGGAUCAUCAACCGGCCAAUGGGUACUAGACUACUUCGAACCUUAUAAAGGAAGACUUCAUGGUCCGUCUUCCUGGGUCCCAGGGCUUCUCGACAGCACGCCUUGGUUACAAGUGAACCUCGGUCCCAAGACGAGACUGGUGACCCACAUUGCAACACAAGGAAGCCCAGUUCAAAGUUGGUGGACAAAGAAAUAUAGAGUUUGUUAUGGAAUUUUUAACGGAAGUUUGAAGGACUACCGAGAGAGCGGAGUGAGAAGGGAAUUCAAUGGAAAUACAGACAGGAAUGGAGUGGUGAAACACGCUCUGAGGGAUCCGUUUGAGGCAAAGAUAGUACGGAUUUACCCAACAGAUAGUAAUACGCGCUCCGCUCUCAGACUUGAGCUGUACGGCUGCAUCGUAUACUGAGGUUGACGAUAAAGAGCUUAGGCAAGUCAACACAAACGGCAUCAAAAACGGCGCGCGCGCUCACGAAUUGCUAAAAAACGGCGUUGACGUUCGUGACAGGAAAUCUCGAACGGCAUUUUCCCUAUUUUUACGUUCUACGCGCGCGGUCACGGACGCCAACGCUGUUUUUCAGCAAUUCGUGAGCGCGCGCGCCGUGAUGCCGUUCAUGUUGACUUGCCUAAGCUCUCUAAUGAGUUGAAGUAGAAUGCAGGGGUGUAGCCAGGUUUUUUAACAGGAAGGGGCCCGAAAGGCCCAUAGACGACAUUUUCUCCUGUAUUUUAAGUUCACGUCAUAAUCACGAAAACUUCGCGAACACGCCAUCAGCACGCAUAAUCCAUCGCGCGCGAGCACGAAGUGCCAACAUUACACGUCAUAAUCACGGAUAGCGUCACAACAGCAUACCGAGAACACCACAUGAAAUGUCUUUUUGACGAUGUUUCUUUACGAUGUAGUGACUCUUUGUAAAACAGGCUAGUUAUAUGGCAAAUUAUAUCGAUUUAGCCACUACCUAAAAGCGAAGCCGGCUUGUUUUUAGGGUGUGGGUCACGUGACAUGGUGGUUCGACAUCAGAGAGCGCCUAUUGUUUAUGUCAUUUGAAGUUCGCCAGGUUUCCUAACCAGUCUCCUUUUCUAACUAUGGUCAGAUUCGUAAAUUAUUCUUAUUAUGAUCUUUACUUCACUGCACAGACGGUAAAUAUUAGAGGGUUUUCAAGCACACUUUAUUUAAGGUUGAUUGUUACUAUUUGAUAUCAUUUUCAAGACUAUGUUACAAAUAAUAUGUACAGCAUAUUAAAAAUCAAGAACCCGUA